CCAGAGUUUGUCCUUGGUGGAUGGUCUGUAAGAUCCCAGCCCUUCUGCAUCUUCACCCUAAGGAGGCUGGGCUUUGACAGGUUACCUUGUCUCAAGGGAGCAGUGGGAGUCUCAAAGCAAGACAUUGACAUGGAAGGUUUGCAGGUGGCAGUGGCCGAGGUUUAGUCUCACACAACACAACAAAUGAGAAAGGAGUCUUUAAAAAGAGAAGAAAUCUUACAGUAAAUCAUUCUUUGUUGAUUUGGUAAAUGUUCUACUUUAAUAUUCUAAGUUUUAACUUUUGUAAUGAAGGGUCUUUAAAAUGUGGCAUACUUGAAAUUCUGUUUUAAGGUGUAGAUUUUAAAAUCUACUUUUAAUUGUAAAGUAAUCUUUUAAUAGAAUGUAGAAGUGUGAGGUUUAAAACUGCUACUCUUUGCUUCUUGCUAUAGGGA
RNAcentral lists this long non-coding RNA (431 nucleotides) under Sus scrofa (pig). RNAcentral describes it as "lncRNA (ENSSSCG00050038371.1, ENSSSCG00060062818.1)". Lineage: Eukaryota; Metazoa; Chordata; Mammalia; Artiodactyla; Suidae. The record is from RNAcentral.